Molecule: small nuclear RNA, 23 nt
Filed under: Arabidopsis thaliana (thale cress)
Lineage: Eukaryota; Viridiplantae; Streptophyta; Magnoliopsida; Brassicales; Brassicaceae
Description: snRNA_08468
Source: RNAcentral
UUUUACAUACAAAUAGAGUUGCU